This 567-nucleotide long non-coding RNA is filed under the name Trifolium pratense (red clover). RNAcentral describes it as "long non-coding RNA (TPRA_LNC013528)". Lineage: Eukaryota; Viridiplantae; Streptophyta; Magnoliopsida; Fabales; Fabaceae. The record is from RNAcentral.
AAUAUUUGAUCCCUAUAAAUAUAAGUCAUUUGUGUUUUGAUCAUUCACAAUACAUCUAUUGAAAGUUCCAAAUAUUUGAUCCCUAUAAAUAUAAGUCAUUUGUGUUUUGAUCAUUCACAAUAACUAUUUCUCCUUCUAUACCAAUACAUAACAUCUCUCUUGUGCCUUAUAAUCAAAAUGAACUUUAAUAGUUCUAUUAAUGCCAUCUAUAUUUGUUUUUAUGUUACCGUUAGUCUUAUUUUAAUCUUCUUACUCUUGGCAUUUUAUGAGAUAGCCUGUGUACCUCUUUUACAAACAUUGUUUNNNNNNNNNNNNNNNNNUGUUGAAUCUCCUAUGGGAGAACUUGGUCACUCAUUACCACUCCCUGCGCCGCUUCCAUCUGAAGGAAUUUCAUGGCCUUCCCAUCAGCAUACAACAUAGGCGAGUCUAUAGUUGAAUUAGAAUAUAAUUUUCAUUUUAUUUGUUCCUGCAAAACAAACAUAUGUAUUGAGUUAGUUGUUAUUAUUAUUAUUAUUAUUAUUAUUAUUAUUAUUAUUAUUAUUAUUUAUCCAACUUUUGUGUUUUUUC